This 465-nucleotide ribosomal RNA is filed under the name Vreelandella stevensii. RNAcentral's name for it is "partial 16S ribosomal RNA". It matches the Rfam family "Bacterial small subunit ribosomal RNA", at positions 338 to 795 of the family's 1533-position model. Lineage: Bacteria; Pseudomonadati; Pseudomonadota; Gammaproteobacteria; Oceanospirillales; Halomonadaceae. The record is from RNAcentral.
CCUACGGGGGGCAGCAGUGGGGAAUAUUGGACAAUGGGGGGAACCCUGAUCCAGCCAUGCCGCGUGUGUGAAGAAGGCCCUCGGGUUGUAAAGCGCUUUCAGUGAGGAAGAACGCCUGGUGGUUAAUACCCAUCAGGAAAGACAUCACUCACAGAAGAAGCACCGGCUAACUCCGUGCCAGCAGCCGCGGUAAUACGGAGGGUGCGAGCGUUAAUCGGAAUUACUGGGCGUAAAGCGCGCGUAGGUGGCUUGAUAAGCCGGUUGUGAAAGCCCCGGGCUCAACCUGGGAACGGCAUCCGGAACUGUCAAGCUAGAGUGCAGGAGAGGAAGGUAGAAUUCCCGGUGUAGCGGUGAAAUGCGUAGAGAUCGGGAGGAAUACCAGUGGCGAAGGCGGCCUUCUGGACUGACACUGACACUGAGGUGCGAAAGCGUGGGUAGCAAACAGGAUUAGAUACCCGUGUAGUC